Meriones unguiculatus (Mongolian gerbil) is the source of this 3113-nucleotide long non-coding RNA. RefSeq lists it as uncharacterized. The record is from RefSeq and is a predicted model, not a curated record. The transcript has 3 exons. Lineage: Eukaryota; Metazoa; Chordata; Mammalia; Rodentia; Muridae.
UAUGCAUAGGAAAAUACGGUAAAUAGGAGAUUCUCCCUAAAAUUUCAUGUAGAAGACAAUUUUGUCCUACUGCCGUUGUACCCCCUAAGCCGAUUUAGACUGGACUGGCUUCCCUAACCUCCUGCCUGAAGGAAGCACUAAAGCGGGAUUGAAUAGAAACCGUGACUGACAGUUGCUGAGGUGUGGUGGCUCAUGCCUUCAAUCCCAGCACCACAGAGGCAACAGGAGAUGCAAGCGGAACUCUGGGAGUCUGCAGUGAGUCUGCAGUCAGCUGGCUUACAUAGCAAGCUCCAAGUCAUCUGCUACGGAUACUAGCGAGACCAUACCUAAAAAAAAGGAGGAGGAAGGAGAUGGGGAAGAAAGAUACUGGACGAAAUGGCUGUACUGACUUAUGUAAAUCAUUUAUGGAAACCAGUCCACUUGCAAGAGAUGAAAGCCGGCAUAUCGCAGCCUUGGCAGACCUGGCUCUUUCAACUGCCCGCCCCGCGCUGAGUCUUAACAGCCACGUUGCCCGAUUUGAGGGACUCUUGCUCCCAGUGAUUAUUACCUGUGGGUCCUUUGAAGAUGAAAGGCACAGACAGAACUCAGCAAUUAGUGCCGCGGGAACUCUAAUGACCUAUGCCUGACACUUACCUUCCUUGCAUGAUGAGCUGUUUCGGCGUUUUUCUCCCUUGAUAUUGCGAAGACAUGAAAGUCCAUGAGCUGCGCCAAAUCCUAUCGGAUCGUGGAGAAAGUCAACAGUUGUGCUACCGUGUUGGCGGGGGGUGAAGCUUAUGUUGUCAUCUCAGGCUAUUUAUUCCUCCCUCCUUCUGUAUCGCCGGACAAUGUCAAGGGGCUUUCAGGGCACAAAGGGCCCGAGAAGACAGUAUUCCUCCUGGUGCCUGAAAACCCCGAGGGGAUUCCUGGUUUCCUGUUAAGACGAAACUCUUCCUUUCCGCGAUGCUGUUAACAAGCGAUUUUCUCUUGGAGGAUACGAUGGGGGCGCAUCUGGGGUUAUAACAAUUUCUCAGUUUGAUAACUAUGAUGUGAGUCAUUUUCUCUUCUAUCGGUCUCAAAAGAUCUUUUUUUAAUUUAAUCACUUUACCCCCUGAGCCCAGCCCUCUUUUUCCUCUCCUCCCAGUCCUGCCCCCGUCCCCCCUUCUCCUUCUUCUCAGAGAAGGGGGGCCCUAAGGGGUACAGACCCAACCAUGCACCGACUUGAGCCAUUUUUUGAGAAGUGUUCUGUGAGCCAGCAAGAUGGCUCAGCGCGUGGAGGUGCUUGCUACCAAGCGGGACCAACCUUUGACCCCUGGGAGCCACGUGAUCGAAGGAGAGAGCUGACUCCCCAAAAUUGUCUUCUGAUAUCCGCUAAUGUACUGUGGGACCCAUGUGCCCCUCACCUGUCUCCAAAUAAAUAAAUAAAUAAUAUGUGAUAAAAAUAAAAAAGAAAGUGUACUGAAAUAUAACUGGAUCAGAGUGACAUUAUGAACAAGAAAAACAGUGAACUGCUCCAGUGUGGACAGAAUGGUUUGUUUGUUUUUUUUUUUUUUUUGCAAAUAUUGAUGCAUUAUUAGUAAUGCUAAAUUAUUGAUGUAACCAAGUAUCACAAGAUCAUUCCUCCAUAGCCAGAAUGAACUGGGCAGGGUUUAAGAGAAAUGGCAGUAGUGGAGGACAUGGGAAAUGGGUAUUUCGAUUCCUUUCUAAAUGGUCUGGCCACCAGGAUUGUCAAAUGUGGUUUCACAAGAAGAGUUUAGACUCAAAGUCCUUAUACGAAAUACAUCACUUUCAGCAACGAAUUAACAUGGUUUUAAAGAGCCAAUAUUUGGUGAACCAAAAGAACAAAGACCAAACAAAUACAUCUUGCAGAUGUCUAUAGAGGGAAGGCUGGACAGACAUGUCUGCAGGCAUUCAGGUCCUCGUCUGUGAUUCAGAUACUCUUCUGCGCUACUGCCGUGGUCUGACUGUGAAACGUCCCCCUCUGGUUCCUGUGUUUGAACACUUGGUUGCCAGCUAAUAUUACUGUUUGGGAGGGUUACAGAAACUUCAGGAAGUGGAGCCCUGCUGGAGGAAUGGAAGUGUGUCACUUGGGAGGCAGGCUUUGCAGUUUUACAGCUGGGCUCUAUUUCCUGGUCUCUGUCUACUUCCUGUGUGCGGGUGAAGUGUGAUCAGUCUGCUUCCUGACUGCCAGCCUGGCCACAUCCUCCUGCUGCCAUGCUUUCCGUGCUAAGAUGGACUGUAUCCGGUCUGGAACCGUAAGCCCAAAUAAACUCUUCCCAAACUUAGUUUUUGUCAGGUCAGGGUAUUGUAAUUUUUUUUUUUUUUUUUUUUAUCACAGCAACAGAAAAGCAACUAAUACAGGCAGGGAGUUAAUAACUGUUGGUGUCUUUUAAUGAUUGCAAUAACAACACCUUAAACUUGUUAGACUGGCCAACGACAUUGCCAUUUAUUUUGGGGAGCAGUGUCAAACUCUUCUGGUUUGAUCCUAUGGCAAGGACUUUAAUUCUCUUCUUUCAGGGGAAGGAGGGGAGAGAGUGCAUUGACUCAGUCACAGAAGCUGACAUGUAGCAGAACCAGCAGCAGCAAUUUUGAGCCCAAGUCCAGAAGUCCUUUCUGCACUUACAACCUCAGAGGUGCCAUGACUUCCGUGUGCUUGCUGACUACCAUGCCUUCUUAUUCCCUCCGACAGUUUCAUAGCUUUUCAUGACCCUCCCACAUCAAUGGGCUUAAUUAAGGUAACCUCUUAUAAACCGGUCCACAGGCAAACCCUAGGCAGGCAAUCUGUCUUGAGACUGUCGUCCCCCAGUGCUCCUGAGUUGUCAAGCUGACAAAACUUAACCAUCACAGGAAGUGAUGUCUGAAUGCUUCUUAAGCAGUACCUAUUCUGUUCUUUGUUAAAGCAUAUCAUUUCAUCCAUUAGUGCUGGGAUGAGGCUCCGGCCUCGUGUGUACUAGGUAAGUGCUCUCUCUCUCUCUGAACCACCUCCCCAGCCCCUUUCGUUUCUCUCUAACCUACCAUUGAAACAUCCAAAAGGUGGUGAGCGUCAGAGCAGCCUUCCUCUUGGUUAGAUGGCCAUCGGUACUUACCUUGAUGCUUGCUUGAAGUGUUUGUUCACGCGUCUGUCAUGUUAAGGUAAU